AACGAACGCUGGCGGCAGGCCUAACACAUGCAAGUCGAACGCUCGUAGCAAUACGGGAGUGGCAGACGGGUGAGUAACACGUGGGAACGUGCCCUUUGGUUCGGAACAACUCCGGGAAACUGGAGCUAAUACCGGAUAAGCCCUUACGGGGAAAGAUUUAUCGCCAAAGGAUCGGCCCGCGUCUGAUUAGCUAGUUGGCGGGGUAAGUAGGCCC
RNAcentral lists this ribosomal RNA (214 nucleotides) under uncultured bacterium. RNAcentral's name for it is "partial 16S ribosomal RNA". It matches the Rfam family "Bacterial small subunit ribosomal RNA", at positions 29 to 266 of the family's 1533-position model. The record is from RNAcentral.